UACGUAGGGCGCAAGCGUUAUCCGGAAUUAUUGGGCGUAAAGAGCGCGCAGGCGGUUUUACAAGUCAGAUGUGAAAUAUCCGGGCUUAACCCGGAGGGGUCAUUUGAAACUGUAAGACUAGAGUACAGCAGAGGAUAGCGGAAUUCCCGGUGUAGUGGUGAAAUGCGUAGAUAUCGGGAGGAACACCAGUGGCGAAGGCGGCUAUCUGGGCUGAAACUGACGCUGAGGCGCGAAGGCUAGGGGAGCAAACAGG
This 253-nucleotide ribosomal RNA is filed under the name uncultured bacterium. Its description in RNAcentral is "partial 16S ribosomal RNA". It matches the Rfam family "Bacterial small subunit ribosomal RNA", at positions 524 to 776 of the family's 1533-position model. The record is from RNAcentral.